UAUUUGGAUAGAUAGAGGAAA
RNAcentral lists this non-coding RNA (21 nucleotides) under Arabidopsis thaliana (thale cress). The record is from RNAcentral. Lineage: Eukaryota; Viridiplantae; Streptophyta; Magnoliopsida; Brassicales; Brassicaceae.